Molecule: long non-coding RNA, 4025 nt
Filed under: Homo sapiens (human)
Lineage: Eukaryota; Metazoa; Chordata; Mammalia; Primates; Hominidae
Description: HSALNT0197824
Source: RNAcentral
GGAUGGCCCCCGUGCUGGGCUCACCCAUCUGACAUCAACAUGAAGUUUCCCCUAUUAUAAACAUGCUGCACUCGUGUGACACAUCUGUCCACCAUUGAUAGACCCACAGGGACGUGCCAUCAUCACCCGGAGUCCACAGCUCAGCCGGUGUGUGCCUGCUGCGGGUUUGGCACUGCAUGGAAAAUGGAUUUUUUUUAACACAUCGAGGCAAAACGUGAAAAAUGGAUUUUGAAGAAGACUUUUCCCAGCGGACAGUGGUUCCCCUGAUGAAUUUGAACGUGAGCACCUGCUGUGAGCGGGAGCGGGGGCCUCAGCCUGGGGUCCCUCCUGGAGGGGCCCUUGCUGCCCAGCCCCGCAGCAGUGCGGGCAUCAGAUGAAGCAGCGGCAUUGCCCUGCGUGUGGUCAGCGGCCAAGCUAUGCUCAUUGUGAGCCCCAUGCCCGGACGGCGCUGCCCCCACCACAGCGACCGGCCCAGUACAGGGUGGAUGACAGGAACCCUUCCUCGGGACUCUUCCAGCCGGGCCCAGGCGGAGACGUCAUUAGGAGGGUCUCUCUUUUCCUCCUGGGUUCCAAAGCCAUACGGGAAAACCCAGUAGACUCCACAAUUCAUGAAAACUGACAGGAGAGGCCAGACCAAGAUCAACACAAAAUUCAAAACGAUUUCUCCACACUGGCCAUAAAUAACCAGAAAAUAGAAAAUGAACACCAUGCACGAUAACAAGAUAAACCAUUCGUUAUGUAAGAUGAAGGGCGAAUAUGAAGUCCACACAAAGAAAGUCCACCCUUGGCCUCCCCCUCGGCUCCCUCACCCCGUGCUGUGAGACCACAUAUCACUCAGGGCUGCGCUAGGGCCAGGGGGCUGGGCAGGGUCUCCCUGUCUCUCUGUCUCUGCCUCUGUCUCUCCCUGUCUCUCUGUCUCUCCCUCUGUCUCCCUCUCUCUGUCUCUUUCUGUCUCUGUCUCUUUCUGUCUCUGUCUCUCUCUGCCUCUCUGUCUCUGUCUCUCCCUCUGUCUCUGUCUCUCUGUCUCUCCCUCUCUCCGUCUCUGUCUCUCUCUGUCUCUCCCUCUCUUUCUCUGCCUCUCCCUCUCUCUGUCUCUGUCUCCCUCUCUCUGUCUCUUUCUGUCUCUGUCUCUUUCUGUCUCUGUCUCUCUCUGCCUCUCUGUCUCUGUCUCUCCCUCUGUCUCUGUCUCUCUGUCUCUCCCUCUCUCCGUCUGUCUCUCUCUGUCUCUCCCUCUCUUUCUCUGCCUCUCCCUCUCUCUGUCUCUUUCUGUCUCCCUGUCUCUGUCUCUCUCUGUCUCUGUCUCUCUCUGUCUCUGUCUCUCUCUGUCUCUGUCUCUUGAAUCCCCUUGAUUAUUAUUUUUCUUAAAUUCCUCAUGUUAUCUCGCGUGCACUCAGGGGAAAGGUGGAGCUCUGGCCACAACCUAUAGCCACCUGCUGGGGAAGCCGCAGCAGAUCAGGACUCAGUCAGUGACCCCACUCCACACUCAAGACCAGCCAGAGGAACCCAAAUAUGGAUGCCCACCUCCCCCAUGCCCAUCGCAGGGGCAGCUGAGCCCCGGCAGUGGCCUCCCCACGUGAUCAGUCCCCGCACCCACACCUCUGCCUGCGGCUGGGCAGCCUCCCCGCUCCCAGCACUCCCUCCUGUCUUUCCUGCCACUGCGUGAGCACCACGAGGUCAGGAACUGAUUUUACCUCCCUCACAGGAAGUCAAAGGUCAAAGGUCUUAGAUGCCCCUGGCACCUGAUCCUGGAGCCCUGACCCCAGACAAAUGAGUCAUGUCGACACUUUCCAAGAUGAAUGGCCACAUCCCCAGCCAUCAGGCAAACUUAGUAAGCCCUGUUUCCAAUCAUAUCAAGCCUGUUCAAUAUAACUUUGUUUAGAGAUGGGGCCUUGCUCUGUUGCCCAGGCUGGAGUGCAGUGGCACAAUCGCAGCUCACUGCAGACUCAACCUCCUGGGCUCAGGUGAUCCUCCCAGCUCAGCCUCCCGAGUAGCUGGAAUGAGAGGUGUGAGCCACUGUGCCCGUCUUAAAUAUAAUUUUUAAUGUAACUACAUAAAAGCUAAAUUGAAUCACAACUAGAACUUUUCUAAAUUUCAAGCUUGCAGUAUCUUUCCUGUACUUGGAACCAGGAAAAAUUUUUUUCUGGUCUCAAACCUUUUCGUAGGUCCUUGCAAAGUUCACAGGCUUCGUUUCCAAAUGGAGCACGAUGUGCCUGACAGAUCAAAGGGCCCUGCUCAGCCCAGGAACAGGCAGCUGCCUGUGCUGGGAAAGUCCGGUGUCUAACAGGUCACAGGUCACACCGUUCACAGCAGCGUUUUUCACGACGGCCAGAGGGUGGACGAAUGUGUUACAUGACCCCUGCCCCGAAUGUGAUAUGUACGCACAAUGGGACGUCAGUGGUCCCAGAAAUGGAAGGCACCUCGGACCCAGGGGCCACACAGCCACCCUGAGGACCUGAUGCUGAGGGAACGAGCCCCUCUCAGAAGCUCAAAUACCGUUUGAUCCCACGUGUGAGGUCUCCAGAGUCGUCAAACCUACAGAGACAGACAGUACGAUGGUGGUGCCCAGGGCAGGUGGGGGUUGGUGUUUGAUGGGGCCGGUUGACAUUUGGGAAGAUGUAAAGCUCUGCAGGUGGAUGGCAGUGAUGGCUGCACGGCAACGUGAAUGUGCUUCAUGCCACUGACCUGUGCACUUAAAAAUCAUUAAGACGGCCCGGGCAUGGGGUGGCUCACGCCUGUAAUCCCAGCACUUUGGGAGGCCAAGGUGGGCGAUUACCUGAGGUCGGGAGUUCAAAACCAGCCUGACCAACAUGGUGAAACCCUGUCUCUACUAAAAAUACAAAAUUAGCUGGGUGUGGUGGUGCAUCCCGGUAGUCCCAGCUACUUAGGAGGCUGAGGCAGGAGAAUCGCUUGAACCCUGGAGGCAAAGGUUGCAGUGAGCCGAGAUCACACCACUACAUUCCAGCCUGGGCAACAGAGUGAGACUCCAUCUCAAAAAAAAAUUGUUAAAAUGGUCAACUUUAUGUUAAAGGUAUUUUACCACAAUAAAAGCAAAGGUCACAGGCAGACCUCAUGAGUGCCCUGGAGGUGCUGUUGCCCCUGGGAUGGAAGCUCAUUAUUUUCAAAUGUUCUAUAUAUGGGGGUCUCUAUUCCGGGACAUUUGCUUAAAAAUCUCUUGGAUCAGACCCUUCUUCAGUUUUUCCUGCAAUUAUCAAUAUCUAGUUUGUUUCUAUAGUAGUUCAAUCAGCUAAGUAAAAAGCUCGAUGCUAAAUCUUGUCAAAGACAUUGCAAAUCUCCAUAGAUCGUCUGCGAAACCACAGCUUUCAUGUUUUGAGCGUAAGACCCUGGGGCUGGUGCUGUAACCCCUGCCCAGACUCUUCUGAGUUUCGGCGGCCCAGCAGGGCAGGGCCGGGCACCUGGCAGGUGGGGUCAUCCCCACAGGGCACCCCGGCCGAGGGCAGAGCUGGUUCCGCCGCAGGGUCGAUCCUGGGCUCUGGGCUGUGCACACGUCCUAUUGACACCCCGAGGACAGGACGUGCGAGUGACUCGUGAGAUUGGGCCUCCCUUGCUGAAAACUUCCCUGGUGGCUGACAGCUGCGUGGACAUUCAGCGGCCCUACCUUUUUCCGUCAGGCGCCAGCAGCCCCUCUGUGUAGAGGUGAGACAGGCCAAGCUGCAGCUUCUAGACGAGACGCCCGAAAGCAGAGAAGUACCCAGAGCAGGGACCCGGCAGCCCGGCAGUACGCUGGGCACAGUCGCAGCCCCGCCUCUUCCUUCUCCGUCUUGUUCCCUCCUUCGGUCCCAGGAGAAAGACGCUCAUCUCCCCACAUGAGAGGCUCAGUGUAGGCGUCUGGACAGGGGCCAGUCCCACAAGGCUACUGACUCCGGACCACAAAGAAGCUGGAAGCAGCAGCUCCGCCUCUGCAGCCAAUUGCAGAGCUUUUUUCUCUGUGUUCUGCCCCCACUUCCAACUCAGGACCAACCAGAGGACGCCAAACACGUCCUAUCACCAACCACCGGACACCUGAC